GGGCGUUUGGCGCAGUUGGCUAGCGCGCUUCCUUCACACGGAAGAGGUCACAGGUUCAAGUCCUGUAACGCCCA
This 74-nucleotide transfer RNA is filed under the name Planctomycetota bacterium. Its description in RNAcentral is "Planctomycetes bacterium tRNA-Val". It matches the Rfam family "tRNA". Rfam says of the family: Transfer RNA (tRNA) molecules are approximately 80 nucleotides in length. Their secondary structure includes four short double-helical elements and three loops (D, anti-codon, and T loops). Further hydrogen bonds mediate the characteristic L-shaped molecular structure. tRNAs have two regions of fundamental functional importance: the anti-codon, which is responsible for specific mRNA codon recognition, and the 3' end, to which the tRNAs corresponding amino acid is attached (by aminoacyl-tRNA synthetases). tRNAs cope with the degeneracy of the genetic code in two manners: having more than one tRNA (with a specific anti-codon) for a particular amino acid; and 'wobble' base-pairing, i.e. permitting non-standard base-pairing at the 3rd anti-codon position. Lineage: Bacteria; Pseudomonadati; Planctomycetota. The record is from RNAcentral.